UUGGAUGAUUUGAUGACUGGAUGAUUGAAUGACUGGUUUGACUAAUUAGACUUUUGAUGGAAAACGCCCUUCACAAGACCAGAAGGCCAUUCAAGGUGCGGGCGUUGAAGGAAAGUAUAGAAAAAAGUUACAGAAGGAAAUAUCUAAUCAGAUUACUUUGAAAACAGGUAUAGUUUAUAUGUUGGUAAACAACAGGAUUCGAGUAAAGGAGUUCCUGUCGUUCGUAAUUAU
This is a long non-coding RNA of Patiria miniata (bat star), 231 nucleotides long. RefSeq lists it as uncharacterized. The record is from RefSeq and is a predicted model, not a curated record. Lineage: Eukaryota; Metazoa; Echinodermata; Asteroidea; Valvatida; Asterinidae. The transcript has 2 exons.